This 2677-nucleotide unclassified non-coding RNA is filed under the name Melitaea cinxia (Glanville fritillary). Its description in RNAcentral is "misc RNA ENSMCXG00005000618.1". The record is from RNAcentral. Lineage: Eukaryota; Metazoa; Arthropoda; Insecta; Lepidoptera; Nymphalidae.
CAUGAUUUACCCUUAAUAUGAUAUAUUUUUUUUAUUUAGAGUAUUUUUAUAUAUAUUUUUUAUGUUAAUACUAAGGAAGACCUUUGGGAAUGUCAAUAAUUAUAAUUUAUUCUUAAAACAUUAACUUUUAUGUAUUCGAACGCUGUAUCGAUUUUAUAGUUUUAUAUCAAAUAAAUAUAAUUCAUGCCGGUUUUUAAUGAGGAUUAAGUUUGAGAUUUUAAUUAAAUGUAAAAUAUUUAAACAUCACCAAAAAUUUUUUUUUCGUUUUUUUUUUUUUUUUAAAUACUACAAAUGAAUGUGAUUUUUUGAUAAUGAUUGAUGAGUUUUUUGUUAGUAUGCAGCUAUACUCAUAUAACUGUUCCAUACAUAUGAUCUAUAAUAUAUUAUCAAACUAUUUAUAUUGUUAAUGUUGUCAUUUAAAAUAUAUUUACAAUUACCGUUAUCAUCAAUUAUUCUAUCUUAAAAUACGUAUAUACUGCCGUAAUUUUGUGAACAUUUUACUUUACAACAUCCAUUGCAAACAAAUUGAAUUGUUUCGUACCAAACUCGCAUCAGUGAUCUUAAAUUGCUUUCAUGAGUCAUUUUAUAAUACUAGUGGGCGCCCAGAGGUCGAAAUUCGACAUUAAUUAAAAAUUGGAAUUUAAGACAACAAAAAAAUUAUGAAAAUAAAGAACUUGUCUUUGACAAUCAACAAAAGAGUAUAAUAUGCGUGUGUGUGUCAAAUACAUGGUAGUGUGUGUAAUGUGUUUUUUUUAUUUCAUAAAUUUUUAUGCAUAAUUAAAAAAAAUAUUAGCAUUCUGCACUCCUUCUUUAUAUAAACUAUGAGUUCAUUGAUAGGUUUUAGUAGGAAGUAAAACAGGACCUCGACUAAUAAACUCCGACUUUUGGUGAUAAAAAUUACGUACAAAAAUAUCCUAUAGAUAAAGUAGAGUUAGAUGAUGAAAAAGCAAAAUAUAUCAAGAGUUUUUAUCUGUUGGAUACCGAUAUACGUCAAAUAGGUCUAUUAGUAGGUAUCCAAUGAAAAAUACGCUAUAUUAUAAUCUAACCAAAACCAUUUCUCUAGUUGACAAGGACACACUACAGGACACAAUAUUACGAUAGUAUACAGAGCACAUACAGACGAGAGGCAGUCAAUUAAAUAACAUGCUACAUACCAUUCCUAAGCAAUAUACAUAAAAAAUAUUAUUUAGAAGCAGUAAUCUACGAACAAGACAGAUUUCCAGCUGAUUAUGAACUUAAAAUAUUGCUUCUAUUCGACAGAUUUUUUGUAAAUAGCUUACAAAUGAUAGUACACGCAAUUCCAUUUAGUGCCUCGCGCUUGUAUCCAUUCUUAUAUCUAUGUACAUAUUUAUUAGUACUUGUAGAACCAUACGUAAUAUAUAAAAUAAUUGAGUUUAAUGAAACAAGGUUUACUUAUAAAUUAACAGAUAACAUAAUAACAGAUACACAAAAGUAGUUGAAAAGUUAAUUUUGAGGUGUAAAAUUCAAUUUUUUUUUUUAAGAAUAAUGAUUGAAGUAGGAUGUAUAUUUAUAAAUGUGUACAAUUUAUUCGUUAUUUGAAAUCUUAAUAGGCUAUGAGGUUUCUUGUUUUCCUAUCGCUUAUUGUGUCUUAAAUUGUUAUUAUUAUUAUUAUUAUUAUUAUUAUUUAUUUAAUUGUAUUAAAUAUCACGGAUUUUAACUCCUAACCUAAUUUUGUAAAUUGUUAAUGUCUCAUCGCUCGACGAAGUUUAGAUUUUCCUUUGAUGGGAAAGAUUUGGCGGUACAACACAGAUUUUUUUUUUGUUUAAAAAACGAUGAAUGAAUUUCAGCGAGAAUGAGAUUUCAGCACGAGAACAUUAAGAAAAUAUGGACUUUUCGCUUUCACUUGGCUACGACCCUUGAUUAAUUAAAUUUUCGUAAAUUAGCAUGCUGGGUUCAAGCUUACCAGUCGAAGGCAACUCUUCGGACAAGGGUUUUUACUUACUGCGACUUAAUCGAUCAACGAGCGUAGCUAAGUAACAACGAGAGAGUCACUAUUUUCUUAAAGGUAAUAAGCAAUAGAGUAGAAGACUGAUGCUCUAUUAUUUGUUUUAAUGGUUGUGUCUGUUGUAAAUGGAACAACUCUCUUAAAAAGCACAUUGGCGUUGAAGGACGUAACGCUUUAAUAUCCUGACUAAACUGUGCGAAAACGGUUUCUGUUUUUUUUUUAUUGCGCAUCUUUCUUAAUAUUUUGGUUUUUCUCAAUAUAUUUCUGCCUUCUUAUUAUUUAUUUUAAUUUUAUCAAAACUCUUAAUAUAUCUAUUGUUUUUGCACAGGUCUAAGUUUCAUUUUAUUUGUUUAAAUUUUUGUUUUAUAUUUAAUGGAUGCAAAUAGAUAUAAGAAAUGACUAUGGAUUUUAUUGCGUAUCCAUUUAAAGUAAUAAAAUAAAAAUAAAAAUUAAUAUUACACUAUUAAAACUAAUUUUCAGUUUUUUUUUUUACUUGAUAAAAAAACGCGAGUUAUUUAUUAUUAUCUUUAAAUAAGCUUAAAUAAUAAUUAGCGACUAAGUUAUUCUUGUCAAGUAGUUUACAUGUUCAUUGACCGAAUUACACAUGCAAUAAGAACGCAUCAGUUUGUAUGCAAGAAAAUGUUUUGCAUGCAAAUUGUAUAUAUGUCGAUUGCGCAAGAAGGAUUUUUUUACCGAAGGUGAAGGAAGGUG